This 3386-nucleotide unclassified non-coding RNA is filed under the name Portunus trituberculatus (swimming crab). Its description in RNAcentral is "uncharacterized LOC123502704, transcript variant X3". Lineage: Eukaryota; Metazoa; Arthropoda; Malacostraca; Decapoda; Portunidae. The record is from RNAcentral.
AACCCAAUGAUCAUUUUGUAAAACUUCGCCUACAGCGUCUCCCAGUGAGAGAACCCAGCGCGGGAUUACUUGAGGGGAAAUAAGACAUAGAACCCCGUGUCCUUCAUGUCCCAAUAGCGAUGUCCACGUACCAAGUAAGGUCACUGGAGGAGGCGGACCAAAUCAUCAGGGAGCACGAGAGAAAGACCAAGACUACAUACGCCCUUCUGCGGUCCACCAAGAACUUCGGCUGUGUGGAUGUCCCAGCAUGUGCCAACGAUGAGAACGAGGUGCGCUUCGAGACGGUGGGUGUGCCAUACUGCGGAGUGCCGUUUUUUGUGGCCGGACUCAAGAUCCUCCAGUGCCAGUCCUACAGAGUGCGAGGCGGAAGGAAAAAGAAAGAGAUAAAGAUUGAGUUGACUGGUUCAGGUGCGGGCGUGAUUGGUGAGGCAGGGGUGGGGGAUGCUGGGGGAGAAGAGGACGGGGACUCGCUGCAGCCCAAGCCAAUGGUCAAGAAAAAGAAGAAGGCCGGCCGCACCCACAAGGUCAGCUGCACUGCCACCAUCAUCAUGAAGGAGGUCAUCUAUUACCCAGAGUUCCAGCUCUUUGAACACUCGAAGAACAACCGCAUUGCCGUGGCGCGCCAGCUGAAGGAUGCCCUCAAGUCCAAGGCGCCGGUGCAGAAGGACAGGAUAAUAUAUGUGACAGUGCCAGCCAUGUCAGACCACUUUGGACACACUGUUGGGCUGGGCACAUCCAAGCAGCAGGGUGGCAAGCGGCUGUUUGUCAAGAAUGACUUCUACGGCCACAAUGAGCCUGGCUCCAGCAACCGAGUGUACUACCCAGUGAAGCAGGAGAAGCUCAACGUGGCCCAGCUGGCCCGCCGGAUGAAAGUGGAUGAGGACGACACAGAGGCUCGGGCCAGAGAAGUGAGGGAGAUUCUACAGAGCAUCAUGGGCCUCACAUAUAAGCAACCGGGAACAACGGAAGCAUACCGGGAGCUGCACAAAGACCUGAGCCAAGCCAGACUCAAGUACCAGCAGACCAUGGACACGCUGCUUGGAGGGCCACCCGUCGCCCAGAUCCAUGUGGUGGACGGCCUAGUGAGCCAAAAUGGAGAUCCUCUUGAAUCAGCACCCCAAGCAAACACUGCAGGGGAGACGUGGCCAGUCACCCGCGCCACAGUAGUCACCACCACCACGGGGGUCAAUGCAUCCCAGGCAGUGGCUGUGUCCUCGCCCACCACCACCACCACCACAAUCGCUGCCGUGCCACAAGUCCAGCAGAACCCAAAUGCAGGAGCUGCCACUACUGCCCCCACUGAUGGCAAUAACCAGGAGACCAGCAUCUUCAUUGAGGCCAUGGAAGCAAUCUUAAACUCUCAAAUGUAAUGGGUGCUGGCUGGCUGAGUGGCUGACUGGCUGCAUGGCUGGCUGAUUGGCUGGGUGGCCGGCUGUGUGGGUGUGGCAGCGCUGGUGGGGCUGAGCUCUCUGCUAUCUUCUUCUAGUGCAUUAUACUGUAUGAUGGAUGUAAUAGACUAGUUUCAUCUUUUUCUCAUCUCUCCUGGGCAGCUGUGUGUGUGUGUGUGUGUGUGUGUGUGUGUGUGUGUGUGUGUGUGUGUGUGUGUGUGUGUGUGUGUGUUGUAACAAUCAUUUCUUCAUGCGAUAGUUGUGUAGGGGAAAUGCAGGUUAGUUGUAUGAUUAUUAUAGAUAUUUGAGGAGAAUUCACUCAAUAGGUAUGUGCAUGUCCCCUCCCCCCUCCCCCUUCCUCUCUCUCUCUCUCUCUCUCUCUCUCUCUCUCUCUCUCUCUCUCUCUCUCUCUCUCUCUCUCUCUCUCUCUCUCUCUCUCUCUCUCUCUCUCUCUCUCUCUCUCUCUCUCUCUCUCUCUCUCUCUCUCUCUCUCUCUCUCUCUCUCUCAUAUUGGAUCCUUUUAAUGACAAUUUUUAUGCAGCUUUCUCGUACUAGAAAAUUACAUCUAUAUUUUUGAUAGUUUGUUUUGUUUAUUUUCUGACUCAUAUUUAUCACACACUGGUAUAUAUCUGUGCGUUCAUAUCUCAGCAGUACAGCUCUGACACUUCCUUGCACUUGUUAACAUUGGAAACUAUUACUGUACAUACUUGUCCAUCACUCCUGGAUGCCUAACACUUCCUGACAUGCUCUCACCAGUGGAGUUAUGUACAUACUUGUGCCACAUUCAGCAAUGUACACUGACACUGUAAUAUAUAUCCCCAGCACUAAAAAUUUUUUAUACUUGGGUUAAGUGCAGGUUACUUUAAGAACUUCACAAAAUAAGGGAAGCUGUAAAAAGCCAUCAGGCCAACACACAGCAAUCUGUUUGAAGGCCAUGCCACACUGGAAGAAGGAAUCUUGUAGCUCCACUUGUUGUUAGCUGUGUGUUGAGUGGACCAUCCAGGCAUCUUAGGGUCCAGAGGCACAGAUUCUGGAAGGCUGAGGUGGACAUGUGGUGGUGAGUGGACCACCCAGGCGUCUUAGGGUUUAGACGCACAGGUUCUGGAAGGUGGAGGUGGAUGUGUGGUGGUGAGUGGGCCAUCCAGGUGUCUUGGGGUUCAACACAGGUUCUGGAAGGCUAAGGUGGAUGUGUUGAGUUUUUGACACUUCAUCUUGGUAGAAAUGUUUGUGUCUAGUAAGUUGCUUCUUUAUUUUCAUUUUAUGUUUCAUUGCUACAUUUAUUUAUCAUCACAUUUACCUUUUUUUUCAGGAUGACUUGAAAUGUAUUUUUAGAUUAGCUCAGAGCAAUAUUUUUUAUUGAUUUAUUUAUUUUUCUAUGCAUGUGUUUCGUGGAAAUCUUCCUUAAAGGUAGGUUAACAACAUUCAGAAAUGGGUGCUUUACAUAUAUGGAGUAAUUAUGAUCUGUUCUGAAGGCCAUACAUAUCAUCUACAAUAUCAUUGCUGCUUCUUUUGCCAGUUUGUUGAUUCUAUCUCUGUCUAGGUACCAGGCUGGCAAUCCCCCACUGGGUGAGUGAGGCGAGGCACCACACACUACACAAUGUGAUGUAGCUCAGUAAUUGACAACGUGGCAGUGCAAGGGUCACGAGGAGGCACAGCCGGGCCUGCCUGGGGCUGAUCAUGGCCAGGGAACAGUUCUCAGGUGCUCAGAAAAGAAGUUAUGUCAUUGUGGGACUGUAAAUAAUUCUGGAAGUAUAGUUUACAUAAUAUAUCUAAGUUAGGAUGAAAACAUAUACCCUGUGUGGUAAAUGGGUACUUUAUUUUACAUAUGUAUGUAUGUAUGUAUGUAUGUAUUAUGUACAUGACACUUUGUCUGAUAAUGUUUUGAGUUAUUGUUUCAGUAUUGUCAUUGGUUUAUUAUCAUGUGUACAUUUUUAGCUGUAUAGUAGUUGUUCCUUCACUGUACAAACAAAAGUAUAUAAAUAUAAAUAUAUAUCAGUA